GACGAACGCUGGCGGCGUGCCUAAUACAUGCAAGUCGAACGCUUCUUUCCUCCCGAGUGCUUGCACUCAAUUGGAAAGAGGAGUGGCGGACGGGUGAGUAACACGUGGGUAACCUACCCAUCAGAGGGGGAUAACACUUGGAAACAGGUGCUAAUACCGCAUAACAGUUUAUGCCGCAUGGCAUAAGAGUGAAAGGCGCUUUCGGGUGUCGCUGAUGGAUGGACCCGCGGUGCAUUAGCUAGUUGGUGAGGUAACGGCUCACCAAGGCCACGAUGCAUAGCCGACCUGAGAGGGUGAUCGGCCAAACUGGGACUGAGACCCGGCCCAGACUCCUACGGGAGGCAGCAGUAGGGAAUCUUCGGCAAUGGACGAAAGUCUGACCGAGCAACGCCGCGUGAGUGAAGAAGGUUUUCGGAUCGUAAAACUCUGUUGUUAGAGAAGAACAAGGACGUUAGUAACUGAACGUCCCCUGACGGUAUCUAACCAGAAAGCCACGGCUAACUACGUG
Molecule: ribosomal RNA, 508 nt
Filed under: uncultured bacterium
Lineage: Bacteria
Description: partial 16S ribosomal RNA
Rfam family: Bacterial small subunit ribosomal RNA
Source: RNAcentral